This 180-nucleotide ribosomal RNA is filed under the name uncultured Bacillus sp. RNAcentral describes it as "partial 16S ribosomal RNA". It matches the Rfam family "Bacterial small subunit ribosomal RNA", at positions 1207 to 1382 of the family's 1533-position model. The record is from RNAcentral. Lineage: Bacteria; Bacillati; Bacillota; Bacilli; Caryophanales; Bacillaceae.
UCCAGGGCUACACACGUGCUACGAAUGGACCGGUACAAAGGGCUGCAAGACCGUGAGGUUGAGCGAAUACCCAGAAAGACCGGUCUCAGUUCGGAUUGCAGGCUGCAACUCGCCUGCAUGAAGCCGGAAUCGCUAGUAAUCGCGGAUCAGCAUGCCGCGGUGAAUACGUUCCCGGGCCUU